Molecule: ribosomal RNA, 622 nt
Filed under: Ostreopsis sp. ORUS
Lineage: Eukaryota; Dinophyceae; Peridiniales; Ostreopsidaceae
Description: partial 28S ribosomal RNA
Rfam family: Eukaryotic large subunit ribosomal RNA
Source: RNAcentral
UCAGUAAGCAGAGGAAUUUCAUCAAACUAGGAUUUUGCUAGUAGUUGCGAAUGAAUACAAAGCUAAUCAUAAUGACAAUUGCUGCACACUUUGUGCAGUGAAUUGUUUACUUUUGGUAUAAUGCCUAUCAAAGCUGCAUACAAAUGAUUUUUGAAAUGAUACAACAUGGGAUGCGAUGUUUAUGUAUGUGUGCCUGCUUUGUCCACAGCAUGUGCUGAAUGAAUCACAUUUCUUGCAACUGAAAUGCAAAUGGCAUGGUGAAGUUCAUGUGACAUGACACAUGCUUGAGAUUCAUGAUGUGCAAGUACCAUGAGGGAAAUGUGAACAGGACUGUGGAAAGAGAAUUAAAUAAAGCCUGCAAUUGCUGGACAUGAAAGCAAGCGUAGACAUUCAUUGAAGUGUUACUGCAUCUUUACACCACCUUUAUGGUUACUGUAUGCUUUACAUUACAACACAAAUAAUGAAGUGCGUGUGUGUGUGUGUGUCUACUUUGCUUCAAUUGUUUCCACCUGGGAUCACUUGAAACAUUGUCCUGAGCACUCUUCAGUAUCACUGUGUACACCAGUAUAUUCCGGUCCUUUGUUGGCACAACAUGUGAAGGAUGAAUGUGGUUUAUGUGCCA